This 997-nucleotide unclassified non-coding RNA is filed under the name Hevea brasiliensis (rubber tree). Lineage: Eukaryota; Viridiplantae; Streptophyta; Magnoliopsida; Malpighiales; Euphorbiaceae. The record is from RNAcentral.
AACCCGAAGUGUUGAUUGAUGCAGGUCGCACUUCAUAAAGCACAUGAGACCCACAUCAAUUAAUGGUCCAGAUUGCAGAGUCAUAUUACCUGCAACCAUGCUUAGCAUUUUCCUAGAAACAUUUUCUUGGUCUUCUUCCUUUUUUUUUGACUAUUUACAGAAGCCUCUUACCAGUCAAACUUACAACGAUGAGGAAUACAGAAUGAAAGCUGAAAUACUUUUUGCAAUUCAGUUCUUCAAUCGUACAAUCCCUCCUGCUCCCAUACGUCCACCAGAAAAUCAAUAAGUUCAGAGAGAGGAAUGGGCUGGGGGAAAGGAUUUCUGGUUCCAAGUAAGCCUUCAUAAGUUGCAUUCCAGCUUAAUCUGCGUUCCCAUCUCUGUUGGGUUUGAUUUGUGGAAGUGUUACUUCCAAUCCACUGAAGCCUGCUCUGUUGCCAAAGAAGAAGACCAUGAUUUACAAAGUCAGAAUUGCUGCUUGUGCCACUGGUGCUACUAUUGAGAUUCACAUUUGAUACACUGAUUGAUGAGACACUUCUCUGAGAUUGCACAGCACUGUUCUCCAAAUCACAUGUGCUGGUGCUCCAAAAAUCAUCUGAUAUGCUAGGUUUCUUCACUGCCCGUCCUUGUAUCCUCAAUCCUUUUGAUGGUUCAUCCACAGCAAUAAUUGGAGUGGAUUUAGCACAGCAACCAAAACAACCACCCAUGCAAGCGAGAAGGUGACGGAUCCAAGCAGUAAUAGAGGUGUUGAAGAUCACCAUCUAAACGGGCCAAAAAAGCAUCGAUUCGCUCCGGUCAACGGAAUCGGAAAUGGAAAAGAAAAUCCGAGUUGUUCAGAUUUCAGUUUGGGUCAAAAAAUCGACAUCUUGUGAUGUAGGAGUUAGAGAAAUUGGUUGGUUGGAACUUAGGUGGUUAGCAAAGAGUCAAGUGAUUAGCGCAGAGAAGUGAUGAACUGAUAAUUAAGGUGGGUUUGGUUUGGUUUAGUUCGUGGAUGAUGAUC